This 483-nucleotide ribosomal RNA is filed under the name uncultured bacterium. RNAcentral describes it as "partial 16S ribosomal RNA". It matches the Rfam family "Bacterial small subunit ribosomal RNA", at positions 28 to 523 of the family's 1533-position model. The record is from RNAcentral.
GAUGAACGCUGGCGGCGUGCUUAACACUUGCAAGUCGAACGGAAAGGCCCAAGCUUGCUUGGGUACUCGAGUGGCGAACGGGUGAGUAACACGUGGGUGAUCUGCCCUGCACUUCGGGAUAAGCCUGGGAAACUGGGUCUAAUACCGGAUAGGACCACUUCUUGGAUGUUGUGGUGGAAAGUUUUUUCGGUGUGGGAUGAGCUCGCGGCCUAUCAGCUUGUUGGUGGGGUAAUGGCCUACCAAGGCGUCGACGGGUAGCCGGCCUGAGAGGGUGUACGGCCACAUUGGGACUGAGAUACGGCUCAGACUCCUACGGGAGGCAGCAGUGUGGAAUAUUGCACAAUGGGCGCAAGCCUGAUGCAGCGACGCCGCGUGGGGGAUGACGGCCUUCGGGUUGUAAACUCCUUUCGCUAGGGACGAAGCGUUUUGUGACGGUACCUGGAGAAGAAGCACCGGCUAACUACGUGCCAGCCGCCGCAGUAA